CUGCCAGGGAGGCCAUCCUAUCUGGAGCCUUGGUGGCUUGGCCCCUGCUCCCGAGGACUGCCUAGGCCUGUGGAAAGGCUGGGAAGGAUUGAGCAGGAAUCUGAACUGUGACCAGGAUAGCCCAGGCCUCUGGAGACGCUGAAGGGGAAAGCACUGAUCGCGGCACGUGUCUUCAGAGGUGUCCG
This 185-nucleotide long non-coding RNA is filed under the name Chinchilla lanigera (long-tailed chinchilla). RNAcentral describes it as "lncRNA (ENSCLAG00000027148.1)". Lineage: Eukaryota; Metazoa; Chordata; Mammalia; Rodentia; Chinchillidae. The record is from RNAcentral.